This 482-nucleotide ribosomal RNA is filed under the name uncultured bacterium. RNAcentral describes it as "bacterial SSU rRNA". It matches the Rfam family "Bacterial small subunit ribosomal RNA", at positions 33 to 507 of the family's 1533-position model. The record is from RNAcentral.
GAGACGCUGGCGGCGUGGAUUAGGCAUGCAAGUCGACGGUAUCAGUCCUUCGGGGGUGAGAGAGUGGCGAACUGGUGAGUAACACGUAGGUUAUCUACCUCAAGACGGGACAACCCAGGGAAACUUGGGCUAAUACCGGAUGUGAGCAACUUUUAGUGUUUGAAAGGUGGCGUAAGCUGUCGCUUGGGGAUGAGCCUGCGUCCUAUUAGUUAGUUGGUGAGGUAACGGCUCACCUAGGCAAUGAUAGGUAGGCGGCCUUAACGGGUGGUCGCCCACACUGGGAUUGAGAUACGGCCCAGACUCCUACGGGAGGCAGCAGUCGAGAAUAGUCUACAAUGGUCGGAAGACUGAUAGUGCGACGCCGCGUGAACGAUGAAUCCCUUCGGGGUGUAAAAGUUCUUUUAUAUGUGAGCAGUGCUUCUUAUAUUAACAGUAUGGGGAGAGAGAUAUUAGCAUAUGAAUAAGCAACGGCUAACUCCGUG